CCAAGCGUUCGAUCUUACACAGGUAGCCCCUGGAUGGCAGCACUGUUUGUUUCAUAUACAGGUGAAGCAGAGAUCGGUGAUAACAUGGCGAUGUAAUAUGGCGAUGUGCCACGCCGAUAGAUGGAGACGUGACUAGCCUCAGGGCACGGCGGGAAACUAUGAAUUUGACUGGAAAAGAAACUUCGUUGUUACUCCCGUCGGAAUAGAAUCCAGAUACGUUUCCCGAAAUCCAAUGUUCUAGUCAGUGUAGCCGAAGGGCUCGAGACACUUUAUUGCGAUGUUGUUCCCGACGUGAUAGGAAGGAACGACAAGAAUCUUGGUAAAAACGGAUAGAUAACAGGUGUCUGUCUAUUCGCUUAGUGACUCGAAAAUCUCAAGGGUGCUUGCAUUAAGGAAUAAUAUACGAGACAAGCUUGCGCUUAUUCGAACGUGUACAAAAUGAGAAUACGUUUGAACGUAGCCAAACGGAAGAAGUUUCUUUUCCAAAUAGACACACUCGGAUACUCGGCGUAAAGCGUUGAUAAGAAAACAUCAGAAAUAGAGGGAAAACAUCAGAAAUAGAGAGAGAAAGAGAGAGAAAAAGAGAGAACUAGGGUAUCGACUGAUAAAACGCAUAAACUGAAAGCGUAUGAAAAUAAUGAAGAUUGAACGUAUAAAUGUCUUAUCCCUGGCGGUAACGUGUUAGUAGAAGAAAAAAAGAGGAUAUCGAUCAUAAAAAGGAGAAAGAGAUAGGAGAGAGAGAGAGAGAAAGAGAGAAUUCGAUUUGGUUCGAGUCGCAAAGUGGUAUAUACAUCGGAUAGCAGUCUAGCAAUGAGAAAAUCAGAAAUAUUCUUGACAAGAACAAGCCAAACUCGCGCCCCAAAAAAUCGAUUAUAUUUAUCGAAUUCCAAGAAUCCAUUCUUCCGGAAUGGUGACGUGUUUUUAGAAAUAAGUCCGAUAACUCUGUUUUACGAGCACUAGCUCACGUUAGACAAAAGGAGCCCUAGAGGCUUUCUAUUUCGGUUAUAUCGAAGGACGUCCGAGAAAAGAAGUGCGAGAUAACAAGGAUCCAAAGGGUCGUCGUAGCAGUCUAGAAAGGGUUAUCUAAUAAGCUACCUCGAAAGGGUUACCUUUCCCCGUGUUUCAAAAGAGUCAAACCACCCUACCAACUUACCACCCUACCACCUUACCACCCUACCACUUCUUUCACAAGUCUUCGCUGGCUCCGCUCUCUUCUUUCUUCCUUCUUUACUUCUUUUUCCUACUUCUCUUUAUCGAGUAAGGUUCCCCCGUAUCGACUACGAUCGAUAAUGUCUGUAUUCACGAUUCCUCGUAUAAUCUUAGGCAAUAUCGUAUCUGGAUGGCGCCACCUCGUAACCGGCACGACACUCAUCGAUGAAACCGGCGACCCCAAUCCGUGAUUUCCAUCGACCAUUGGAAGUCGGAACCAUAAUCAACCCUUCGUGGAAAAGGGAUCUAACAGGGUCAGAGAAUGUUGCACCGGCGGGGUAAAGAGGAAAAAAGGUAUUUGAAAAAGGUAGACCAACGUAAUGUGCAAUCGGAUGAAACCUUAGAUGUCUUGAAAGUAACGUUAAAACCAUCCCGUCCUUCCCACCUUGGCCAGCUCCAACCGCGUAACUGAUUACAUGAAAAUCGCUGUCAUAAUAUAGGUCAGACGACGUAUCAUAAAAUGUUCAAGGACGUUAAAUGUAAAAAACUAUUUAGCGAACUUUUAUAUACUGAUAUCUAAUGAAAUUGUUUGUUAUAAUUUGUAAAAGAAGUUGUAGCCGAAAGGAAAG
Long non-coding RNA from Vespa velutina, 1778 nucleotides. RefSeq lists it as uncharacterized. The record is from RefSeq and is a predicted model, not a curated record. The transcript has 3 exons. NCBI's taxonomy places the organism in Eukaryota, Metazoa, Arthropoda, Insecta, Hymenoptera, Vespidae.